GGGCGAUUGGCGCAGUUGGCUAGCGCGCAUGCAUGACACGCAUGAGGUCACAGGUUCGAGCCCUGUAUCGCCCA
RNAcentral lists this transfer RNA (74 nucleotides) under Phycisphaeraceae bacterium. RNAcentral's name for it is "tRNA-Val". It matches the Rfam family "tRNA". From Rfam's summary of the family: Transfer RNA (tRNA) molecules are approximately 80 nucleotides in length. Their secondary structure includes four short double-helical elements and three loops (D, anti-codon, and T loops). The record is from RNAcentral. Lineage: Bacteria; Pseudomonadati; Planctomycetota; Phycisphaerae; Phycisphaerales; Phycisphaeraceae. RNAcentral also lists the same sequence under 3 other names.